GUACUUACCUGGCAGGGGAGAGACCGCGAUCAAGAAGGCGGUUCAGCGGGGUGACGCUCCGCCGUGGCCCCCCGGCUGUGCUGUGGGAAUCUCGACUGCAUAAUUUCUGGUAGGGGGGGGACUCUCUACCCUAG
This is a small nuclear RNA of 134 nucleotides. Its record names the gene U1. It matches the Rfam family "U1 spliceosomal RNA". From Rfam's summary of the family: U1 is a small nuclear RNA (snRNA) component of the spliceosome (involved in pre-mRNA splicing). Its 5' end forms complementary base pairs with the 5' splice junction, thus defining the 5' donor site of an intron. The record is from Ensembl.